This 253-nucleotide ribosomal RNA is filed under the name uncultured bacterium. RNAcentral describes it as "partial 16S ribosomal RNA". It matches the Rfam family "Bacterial small subunit ribosomal RNA", at positions 524 to 776 of the family's 1533-position model. The record is from RNAcentral.
UACAGAGGGUGCGAGCGUUAAUCGGAAUUACUGGGCGUAAAGCGCGCGUAGGCGGCUUUGCAAGUCGGGUGUGAAAUCCCCAGGCUUAACCUGGGAACUGCAUUCGAGACUGCAUUGCUAGAGUAUGGGAGAGGGAAGUGGAAUUUCCGGUGUAGCGGUGAAAUGCGUAGAUAUCGGAAGGAACAUCAGUGGCGAAGGCGACACCCUGGACUCAUACUGACACUGAGGUGCGAAAGCGUGGGUAGCAAACGGG